Molecule: non-coding RNA, 2808 nt
Organism: Phoenix dactylifera (date palm)
Lineage: Eukaryota; Viridiplantae; Streptophyta; Magnoliopsida; Arecales; Arecaceae
Source: RefSeq, a predicted model, not a curated record
UUGAGAGGGGCCUGUUCGAUAUGUAUACAUUGAAUUGUUGAGAUGUGGAGAAGGUAAUAUAUUUCUAUCACACGUUCACCUUUUUAGACUGGUUAUGUAUACUGUGGUAAAUCAGUUUCUUAUCUUUUAGUUGUCCGGAAUAAUAUUCUUCCAUACUCAUUAAGAUGGGGUUACAAAAAAGAAAGAAUAUGACAAGCCGUCUACCGAUGAUUUACUUUUUCUUAUGCAGGAAGGAGACUAGAAAAAAAAAAAUUCCAUGGUAUAAAGAUUAGUUCCCUCCAUAGCAUGAAGAUUUUUCGCAAUGCUGAGUUAGUUUCCUUUUUUUUAUUAUUACUAUGGACUAAAAAGUUAGGUAGAGAAAAGCAGUGGGUAAUUGAAAGUAGGGGUGAAACUCUAUUAACCAAAUUGCCACCUUAUUAGCUUUUGACUAUCUACUUCAAGGACUUAUAUGCAUGUCAUUGUGUAAGAAGAUAAUCAGCUCUUAUGGGCCAUUUAGUUGUCUUGUUUAUCUUAAAUUGUCCAUGCUCUUUAAGAACUCCGAACAAUAACUGAUAUCUGGUGUUAUAUGUAUUUUAAAUGGGUAUUAUGUUGGAAGGUGAUAAAUAAUGCUUCUUAUAAUGGUCAGAGCAAGUGGGAGUGGCCCUCUCUAUUAAAUCAAAAAAUAAUGGUCAGAGCAAUUUAGAGAAGCAAAACUAAUCUAUCUUAUUGUAUGGAUGUUUUUGUUGCAAUUUGUGUCUUUCAAAAUAUUAAUAUGAGCUAAUAAACAAAUUGUGGCAUCAGAUUUAAAUGCAGCAACCUUGUUGAUAUUGUUAUAAUUAUUAUACCCUUAUUUCUGGUGCAGUGCCAAUAUCGGUAAUCGCAUCUUUAAGAAGAUCAAGGCCUUUGUCCACAAAAAAUCCUUGCUUGCUGAUGCUUUAUAGACAUCAUCAGAACUUGAAAUUCUUUUCAGUGAGAUGCUUAGUUGUAUUUAAUGCCUUCAUUAUGGUCAUAUGCCUUCCCAACACUGCUUUCCCUACUCGGCAACCCCGUUGCAUUUUUUUCUCUCUCAAUCCCUCACAUGUAACUUCCUUAGUGAAAAGUUCUGCAGCACUUUGCAAGUUGCUCGCACUAGUAUCACUCAUACAUUGAUAUGCUAAUGCUUCUUGCGCACUCUCUUCUAUUUUCCAUACUUUUUGCAAAAUUAAAGAUUGUUAGUGAUGAUGGAAAAGAAGAUGCCUACAGCUCUUCACUGAGGCAGAUAUUGAAGAACUGCAGGUUAUAUUCAAUCACUUCUUGUUGUGAGCUCUUAAUUAUUCUUCAUCUGUUCUGUGGAUACUUGUUGUUUGACUUUACAGUCAUGCAUCGUUGUUGCUGAAAAUCUAUAUGAGGAUCAUUGUUACCAUAACCUUAUGAAGGUUUUUUCAGCUGUAGGUGAUAUAUGUCAAUUUUUUCGAAGUCAUGAAAAUUUUAGAUGUCUUAUGAUGUAAACUUAUGUACUCUAGUGUGAAAACUAUUCGUAUCUGCUAUCCUCAGAAUCCCAAUGGCAACCGCAACGGCACAACUGCUACAGCAAAUCGAUCAUCAAAUGUCAAAAUGCUUUUCUAUAACAAGGCUAUAUGAUUAGCUGUCAUUGUUUUGGCAUAAUUCUGGUGCUGCUACAUUAUGAAAUAGUGCUUGUUUAUCAUUCUCUUGGGGCCUGUUUAUCUGAGUGGAGAACCUGAUAGUCUGGACUUCUGUUUAGAAAGCAAAAACAGGGAGAGCUUAGAGAGCGAUCGGAUCUUUCAGCAGCUACCAGGGAGUUCAACCAGUUUGGUCAGCUGGAACCUCCAGUUUGGUGAUGGGAUUUGACAGCAUCACUCAAAUGUCCUUCAGGGACAUGCUAAUAUUGCAGUAGUAUUCAAGAACGCGACAGAGUCCGCAUACUCCAACCUCAUGCCGACACAUUACAAUGUUCCACGUCACACUCCACAGGGAUAUUUCAGCUUCUUUGUUGGGUGUUCGAAGUCGGCAGGCAGGUAAUGUAUCAGGAGUUUGGAAGUUAUUGCUCGGUGCACAUAUGUGCUUUGGCAAAUUUUAUCCUUGUUUGACCGCUUCGUUUUUCAUGGGUAAAAUUAUGCUACUGAGUCGUUUCCUUAGCUUAUGAGAGAACUAUUUAUGAAGCUAAAAAUUUAGUACAUAGCAGUUGUUUGAGCAAGAGAUGCUUCAUUAAUUUUUCAAUCGCAAGCUUUUUUUGGUUUUUGAGAUGGAAAAAAGAAUUAUUCAAUCACAAGCUUAAAAAACUCAGAAAUUGCAAUGAGCUAACUAGUGCUCAUCAUUUUCAUCAUCCAAGCUAUUCGGUAUGGUAUUAGAUAUGGAACACAUGUAAAAGUUUGAGAAUGCUCCAUGGAAGAGUCCAAGAAUUUACAACUAGCUUUAACCUGUCAUCUAGUUGAAUUUGACAGGAUAUCUAUCUCGUUGUUUGUAAAGCUCGUGCAAUCGAGGAACAACCUCCAAUAUUCUAUUACACAUGCAAUGAGUGGAGAUGAAGGAAGAUGAUGAUAACGUUUGAUAUAAGACUACAGUAUGCUGACUGAAAAGUGGUCCCAAAUGAUGGAAUAUUUCUGAAUUAAAGACCAAUCAAUGAUAUAAAAUAGUAAAUGUUGGAACAGUAGAAUAGUAAUGCAUGAAGACAAAUCUGGAUUUCUUAGCAUAGGCCAAGUUAUUGUAUGUUUUUUUCUCAAAUGCAACACGCUAUUAUAUGUUUAAGUUGUACUUCUUUCAUAUUGAUCUCUAUGAAAUGAAGGUGAUGGCUUUGCAUCCUUAUACUCAAAAAAUAUGUAUUCAAAUUCA